AGGUCUGUAGCUCUAAUCGGCUAGAGCACCGGAUUCCAAAUCCGGGUGUUGGGGGUUCGAGUCCCUCCAGACCUGCCA
This 78-nucleotide transfer RNA is filed under the name Candidatus Scalindua arabica. Its description in RNAcentral is "tRNA-Trp". It matches the Rfam family "tRNA". From Rfam's summary of the family: Transfer RNA (tRNA) molecules are approximately 80 nucleotides in length. Lineage: Bacteria; Pseudomonadati; Planctomycetota; Candidatus Brocadiia; Candidatus Brocadiales; Candidatus Scalinduaceae. The record is from RNAcentral. RNAcentral also lists the same sequence under 2 other names.